Molecule: long non-coding RNA, 444 nt
Organism: Hemiscyllium ocellatum (epaulette shark)
Lineage: Eukaryota; Metazoa; Chordata; Chondrichthyes; Orectolobiformes; Hemiscylliidae
Exons: 3
Source: RefSeq, a predicted model, not a curated record
ACUCAGUGACGCUUGGAUCAGCUCAGAUCAAAUUCUCAAGCAAACAGAUGGCUGGGGAUAUUCAGUAACAACGGUGAGGAGAGAGAGGAACAAUUCACAUUUCAAGUGACCCUUCCUCAAAACGGUCUGUUCUGAAGGAACUUUCCCGCAGAAAUCACUGGACUGAAAGCUUCUGGCAACAAAUGGCCACAAACCGAUCAAAGGUGAAAGUGACGGUGAACCAGACAGAGCAGUCAGUGGCUGCAUAAAGCAGGACGGCGUGGAUAUUACACACGGGGACGGAGUACAGGAAAUAAAACUGUUCCGAAUAAACAAUGGGAAUGUGUCUCAGGAUCAGGUCGAGGAUAAUGACCAGGAGAUCCGCCGCUGCCAUGGCCCCCAGGUACAGUACUCCCACGUGUUCAUCACAGAAGUCACACGGAAACCUGACGAGGGAAGCAUGAC